Molecule: ribosomal RNA, 500 nt
Filed under: uncultured bacterium
Lineage: Bacteria
Description: partial 16S ribosomal RNA
Rfam family: Bacterial small subunit ribosomal RNA
Source: RNAcentral
AUUGAACGCUGGCGGAAUGCUUUACACAUGCAAGUCGAACGGCAGCACGGGGGCAGCCCUGGUGGCGAGUGGCGAACGGGUGAGUAAUACAUCGGAACGUGCCCAGUCGUGGGGGAUAACGUAGCGAAAGUUACGCUAAUACCGCAUACGAUCUACGGAUGAAAGCGGGGGACCGUAAGGCCUCGCGCGAUUGGAGCGGCCGAUGUCAGAUUAGCUAGUUGGUGAGGUUACGGCUCACCAAGGCUCCGAUGGGUAGCCGGCCUGAGAGGGCGACCGGCCACAGUGGAACUGAGACACGGUCCACACUCCUACGGGAGGCAGCAGUGAGGAAUCCUGCGCAAUGGGCGAAAGCCUGACGCAGCGACGCCGCGUGGACGAUGAAGGCCUUCGGGUCGUAAAGUCCUGUCGGGUGGGAAGAAAAUUCCGGAGCUAACAUCUCCGGGACUUGACUGUACCACCAAAGGAAGCCCCGGCUAACUCCGUGCCAGCCGCCGCAGUAA